Molecule: ribosomal RNA, 471 nt
Filed under: Treponema denticola
Lineage: Bacteria; Pseudomonadati; Spirochaetota; Spirochaetia; Treponematales; Treponemataceae
Description: bacterial SSU rRNA
Rfam family: Bacterial small subunit ribosomal RNA
Source: RNAcentral
GAGUUUGAUUCUGGCUCAGAACGAACGCUGGCGGCGCGUCUUAAGCAUGCAAGUCGAACGGUAAGGGAGAGCUUGCUCUCCCCUAGAGUGGCGGACUGGUGAGUAACGCGUGGGUGACCUGCCCUGAAGAUGGGGAUAGCUAGUAGAAAUAUUAGAUAAUACCGAAUGUGCUCAUUUACAUAAAGGUAAAUGAGGAAAGGAGCUACGGCUCCGCUUCAGGAUGGGCCCGCGUCCCAUUAGCUGGUUGGUGAGGUAAAGGCCCACCAAGGCAACGAUGGGUAUCCGGCCUGAGAGGGUGAACGGACACAUUGGGACUGAGAUACGGCCCAAACUCCUACGGGAGGCAGCAGCUAAGAAUCUUCCGCAAUGGACGAAAGUCUGACGGAGCGACGCCGUGUGAAUGAAGAAGGCUGAAAGGUUGUAAAAUUCUUUUGCAGAUGAAGAAUAAACACAGGAGGGAAUGCCCUGUGA